Pelobates cultripes (western spadefoot toad) is the source of this 642-nucleotide non-coding RNA. Lineage: Eukaryota; Metazoa; Chordata; Amphibia; Anura; Pelobatidae. The record is from the annotation of a GenBank genome assembly.
UAAUGACUAACAUUUGUCCCCUUCUCCGAUUAAUGAUACCAGUUAUAUAAUCAUUAUUAAAAGUAAUAAGACCGGUCUGUUUACAUUGAUAUGCAACCUUAACUGUGCACAUUUCUGCGUUAUAAGAUCUAACAAUUUUCUGUGAACCUUUAAACAAACAUAAUGCAUCGGUUUCAUUAGCUGUGGACACAUUUCAUAUGGGUAACUGGUACUUAUAAGGGUUACUAUUUGUCCAAUUCAUCCAAAUGCGUUCAGUGAAUGAAUGAUUGCAUAUUACAUGCUGAUAGAAAGGUGGUGGAAAAGGGUUCUUGAGGGGGCAUGUGUGACGAAUGCUAGAUGAGGGGCUAAGGCCUAAUUGGGCUGGGGGUAUUGAAGAAUUGUUCAUCAUGUCAGAGUCUUUUUUCCAGAAACAAACAGGUUUCAAACUUGCCAUUGACUUGUACUCAUAAUGGCAUUCAAGGAACAAUAUCAGAGGGAGCAUAACAACUCCAGAAAGCAUAGCGCACAACAUAAUCUUGGUCUCAGGUACGUAUGAUCCUCUCAAUCUACGAUAUGGUGUAAAAGCCAUGAUGCUUCGCUGAGGAGAAAUUCUUCUGUUUCGGAGCGAGGAGUGGUGUUGUCUUCCUUGGUUCCCCUCUUUGG